Non-coding RNA from Anas platyrhynchos (mallard), 9832 nucleotides. The record is from RefSeq and is a predicted model, not a curated record. NCBI's taxonomy places the organism in Eukaryota, Metazoa, Chordata, Aves, Anseriformes, Anatidae.
CAGCGUUUGGCAGCGCGGGGUGAUUUGGGGCCCUGCCCGGGCGGUGCAGCCGCGGAGGUGCGGUGGUGCUGCCUCCGGACAGGCAGGGCACGGGGUUGGAGCUAGAUAUGAAGCUCUUGCUCAAACCGCCCGACGAGCGCUGUGAUUUUGACAUGCCUUUCCCAGAAAUGUGUAACGCUGCCUGGAGAGCUGUGCCAAGAUCAAACUGCUUCGGAUGGAAGAGUUCAGCCUGCUUGGAAAAGGGGAUAAGAAUCCGUGCCUUUUUUUUUUGGUGCUGUGUUGCUUUAAAGGAACAUUUCAGGUGGCAAACGUGGAGUUUAGCUACUGAAAGGCAGUUGACUAAUGAAAAAGCUUCCUAAAUGGUGAAAUACCACUCAGCUCCAGCGAGCAUAUUCUGUUUCAAUCGCUGCCUAUGUGGGCGUACAAUAUUUUUCACAGAUUGCCCGCAAAACUCAUCACUACUUAUAUGAUAAUAUUUGGGGGCUGAAUUUACUGCUGGCUGGAAUAAGUGCCUUUCUUCAGCCCUCUGAAGUAAUUCCUUAGGUUGCCAUGUUGCCACAGCAAUGCAGGAGCUGAUACAGGAGUUGAAAAUCCCAUCACCCAGGUUCUGCUCCUGUGUCUCAGCUGCCUACAGGGAAACCCUCUGAACUCACCAGCCUGCUGCGUUUUUGGUGCCUGAGGAUACCAGGAACUGGGAAACAAGAAGCACUUAGAAAUCAGAAAUCAUCCUUAGCAUUCCUAAUAAGCCUUAACCUUUCCAAUGAUGCAGAGGGCAAUUAUUGAACUUUUUACUCUCCGAGGAGUGCAGGUAAGUCAUAGCACUAAAGAACUUGUAUAUUUUUCUGCAUUUUAUUCUUCCAGGUCUGAGCUCUUGGUUCACAAUAUCACCACCAUCAGGCCUUUGGCUGGAGACUGAGGAAAAAUGGUGAUUAAAACAUACCUUUCCUAGGACAGAUUGCCUGGCUUGCGUAACUGAUUAUUUGUCAAAAUUUGGUUCCUGUUAUGUUUUUGUGAUAAUAGCAAGGUAGUGAGAAAAGUGUGGUCUCUGUGUUAUGGUACUGAAUGCUGGCUGGGGAGAUGUGGGUUUGUUUCUCAGUUCUGUUCCAGAUUUUCCUCUGACCUAGUAGUGCUUUACUGCUUUGUCUGAGAAACCUGGAGGGUAAGCAGCCCCUAGCUCAUAACUCAGCCAGAAAAAUUCCUGGCAGUUCUGGAUACUCUGAAAGCUGAGGCCAAACAGAAAAUGAUGGAGCCGAAGGGACAAACUAAGCUCCUUUAAUUCCGUUGAUCUGGAAAGCAGAAAAAGGUGAAUGGUAGAGGAAGAAGGAGGUAAUUGGAUGUAUUUUUUAAAUGAUAGAAAUAGUUUUACACCUUCAGUAUACUUGCUUUCCUUUUCUGUAGUCACAUAUAGCCCACCUUUUCUCAAAUGACUGUCUUGCUUUUUAAUUGGCCAUUACAAAUUGUCCAGCUCUUUUAGACAUUGAUCUAAAGAAAACUCUGAGAAGAAAUCAACCUAUUUGGUCUGACCUCUUCAUAUUUGUAGUGCUAUCUAUCCAUUCCUCCUAAUGUAUUUCUCAUGCUGAAUAUGUUUUCCUUUUUUCCUUUUACCUUGAAAACUAAAUUUAAAAAUCUCCAUUGACGGGAAAUACAGGUUUAUUUGCCAGUAUGCACAGCAAUCAAGGAAUAUAACUUCUCUUCCAGUAACAAUUUGCUCUAUUGCCCAAAUGUAGCACAUUCCUACCAGCCUUGGCACUGUCUGGACCCUUGGUGAGGUAGGUCAUUACAACAUCGUGAGGGGCACUGUGGUGAUAAAUUGCUGAAUUCCUUUCAUAGAUCUUAAUCAUGCCAAGAAAAAUAGAAGCACUUUUUCCUAAAUACACUUUCUCUCAGGAUUUCCCUCCUACUGGAUAUGUUCCUACGGCCUUAUGGCCUGAUCUGUAGUCUGCUGGGAGUUAGACUCAAUGGGAGUUUUUUCAUUGAUUUCAUUAUUUACUUUGUUUCACUUGGCAUUAUUGAUUCAUAUUCACUUUAGCUCAGACCCUUAGGCUAAACACUUCUAAAAUGUGAAAAUCCUUCUGUCAGGAGCAUCUCAUUUUCAAAAAGAGAUAAGAUUUCUAAGACCAGAAAUAUUAAUGUGAACCUGAAUCAAGGAGAAAAAUCUAUACAUUUCUGCAUAUUCUGCACAUUUUAUACCUUCCAGAAACAUAUGAACACAAACUUUCAUUUUUAUUUAACCAUCCCUUAAUUGAAUCCCUCCAUCCUUCAAUAAGUGAAGCACAAAAUCUUUCCUCAUUUUUUUUUUUUCCCUCCUUGAGCCUUCCAUCUCCUGUUUUUCCUCAAUCUCUGCAGUAAGCUAAUAAACACAGGCAUCUGCUGCUCCAGGAAAUAUUUUGUGGUUUCCUACUAUCUGCAGGUGGCUGCACUUGGCUGCAUCUCCCAGCUCUAUUACUUCCAUGUUUCUCUGAUGGAAAGAUACAGCACCAACAGUAUGUAGAAGUAGCAUGGUUUGUCAAAAGAAAUACCUGUUUGGGAAUUCGCACUUCCUUUGAAUAUAGUUCCCUGGAUCUUUUCCCUCCCAUGAAAUAUUUUAUGAUUUCUUUUUUUUAUUUCCUUGUUUAUAUGGAGAGGAAAACAGGAGCUUUUCAGUGUUAAUUUUGCUUAUUUAUUCAUUUCUAGUGAAGGCAGUAGCAGUGAGUAGUAGCUGAGUAUCUGGGACAUUCAUACUACAUACAGAAAGAAUCUGCUUUAGCACAGGACCAACACCCCAUCCUUCCCACACCUGAGUACAGAACCGCUUGGCUACUCUGGAGUACAGCUCUCUUCUAGAAAACAAGCAAAGAAACAAACAAAGAAACUGCAAUAAUUAAAAAAAAAAAAUAAAAAUCAACUCCCCCCUGCUCCGUGCCUACACUGGAAGAACUUUCUUGAUAAGUUACUACCACAAUUAUGCUGUUUUAAUUAGUUGAGAUUUUAUGCUUUAUUUUCUACCCCAAUUAGGUCUAUGCCUGAGUUUGGUUUCUGCCUCCAACACUGGUUUGUUGCGUUCCUUCAGGCUGUUAUUUGACACACUUCUGUCUCUGCUGCCCAGCUGCCUAUAAAACAAGGAUGAGACAUCCUUGGUUUCCUUGGGAUGUUUUCCAAUGAUUGUAACAACUGAAUUUUGAUGCUAACAUGUAAAUAGAUGGAAGAAUGCUAAAUAUUAUUCAAAUGAAGAGUAAUAUUCAUAUAGCUACACCAAGAGGUUCUGGGCCGAACAGAACUCCAUUUAAAUAAGCAUGUAUUACUACUUUUCAUUGCUUUGCUUUCUAUAGUGCAAUAAAAAUGGUUUUGCAGCUCUUGUGACAGUGAAUGCAAAGAACAAUGUCACAUAUGUUAAAAUACAUCAUAUAUCAUAUAGCUACAGUUAGAUAUAUUCAUAUAUGUGUUUGUGUGUAUGUUAAACUUACUUGCUAUGCAAGCUUGCAUACCAUGAUUGUUUGCAAGGUUUGUUUCAGCAGCUGCAUUUUCACAAAAAAAAAAUGCAAUGAGUUAUUUCAGACUAUGAAAAAAUAAUCAUUUACUGUCAUUUGGGCUUAUUUCCCAGAUGGCAUAAUGUGAAGCUGUUACCAGGUAAAGUCUUAAUAUUCUUGCGGCAGUUUAUAAUUCUUAUGUAUUAAGAUUAUUUUUUUUUUUCACAUUUUGUUUACAAUGCACCUUAUAGAUAUUCAUAGUAUUUAUUAAUAGUUAUGAAUCUACUUGUGACUUUACAAUGUAAUUCUAAGAUAGGAUUGUACAAAAAGUAAAAUAGAACAAUCUGUGUAAAUUACGAUGUACCUGUAUAAAACGAUACGAACAUUAGAUAUUCCUCUGUUCAGGGGGUUUUGUUGCUUGGAGAUUUUACACUGUACAUUGCUCUACAAGCAGAGAGAAAGCUAAGGAAGUUCCUGGCUGCUGUGUGGAGCUUUUACAGAUGUACCAUUAAUACAUUCUUUUUGCAGUUCAGGUUCCUGAGAGAGAAAAUGAUUUUGUUUCAUGAGUCUGCGCAUCACCUGUUGCAUUACACCUAACAAGGGUGGCCAGAUCCCCAGAUGACAUUGUGAACACCUUCCUUCUGAUACUGCACCAUUAGAGCUGGUGGUUUUGCCUUUGGUAAAGUAUAGGCAUGGAGAUCAAGGUAAAUGCUGACUGUGCUCUGCUGAUCUGCUGGCCAGUUUGGGCACACUGGUGCAUACUGUGUCUUCAACAAGUUGCUGUAGUGGGGUUGAUCCUGGAGGUACCAUGAGUUACAGUGUUUGGUUCUGCUUGGCAAGACAAAGGUGGCCAAGGGUUUGGAUUACAAAUUCCAUAAAAAUUCCAUAAUCAAAUAAGCUAAACUUUUGGUUUUCUUCUUAACACCUGACAGUCUGUUUGCCCUUUUCAUACCGUACUUUUUUUUUUUUUUUUUUCUUUUCUGACACACUCCUAACCUCCUUUCAACACCCACUUUGGCUUCUCAAAUACUUAUGGAAGAAGAAGGUAAUAAAUACAACAAGGUUCUUUAGUAUUAGAAAGUGUACGAUUCUCAUGGAGAAUCAUACACUGUAAUUCAUUAAAAAAUCCUGUGGUUAGUUCAGGUAGUUAGGAGUUUACAUUGUUCCCAUUAAAAGUCAAAAGCACGUCUUUAACACCUCCAAUGAUUUUAAUGGAGGCAGCUUCAAGACUUAAUAAAAUACUGUAUCAUUUCAAAAUGUAAGAGUAUCUGGUUCUGAUUAUGAAAGGUUAAUAACAUUUUAAAUUGGAACUACAACAUAUUAAUCAUGCUUCCUUCUUAAGUCAAAUGCAUGUUAUGUCUGUUUCUAUGGUGAUGAUAAUUAAUGCACACGGAACAGUAAAAAACUCAAAUGGACUGGAUCCUGCAGUGUGCAGAGCAACUCCUGGAAUUGAGGGUCCACUGCUCCCGGCAGUGAGGAGAGUGAUAGAGAGGAGCACGUCAAGAGAAAAACACUGUAUUUGGCACAAGCAGGUCCUGUAACUUUUGCCAAUUAGGAGCAGAGUCUUUCAUACUGCACCACAUAAUCUUAUUGAAGGCAACCAGAUGUGACUCCAGAAAGUGGCUGCACCAAACAUAAAACAUCAGUCCUGUGAGGUUCAACAGAAUCUUGUUUCCUACUGAAGUUUGCAUGGGUAGUUCUUGUCAGCUUAGAUGCUCACCUGUAAGGCACCAAAAUUUCUAUUCAAAGCACUACUAAAUGAUUCCCACAAAAUAAUUUCAGCUCCUGUGGCAGGGAAGUGAAAAAUGAACAGUACAGGAAAUAUGGCUAAUGUGCCAUUUGGGAAGUCAAGGAGGAGAAUUUGAUUUUAUUUCCAUUUUCAAACAACUGCUAAGUGAAGUGAAGAUCACAAAUUCGUUCCCUAUGCCAUUCCCUCCCUUCUCCUCCCUCUACUUCCAAUCAUCUCUAGAACUUGUUUUCAAUCAAGUAUAGACAAAAUUAAGUUUUAAAAGAUCAAAAGGGAAACAAUAUUUCCUAAUAGUAUAAUUUGAAUUUGUCAUAUUUUUGAGAAAUCAUUGUUAUAUAUGUCUUUCAGUCAUAAAUGGACCAAACGUCAAAUUUAAUGAAAAUUGAACUGUGAUUUAUUUAAGAAAAUGCUGCAUAGAUAAAUAUUCAUCCUAGAUUUCAAUCUUUCUGUGACUGAAGGGUUCCUCUGAUUUAACAUGAGAGACGCCUUACACCCCCCCGUACUCCAGACAUGUAUGAAUGUGAGUUAGGGUUUUUAAGGUCAAAGAUGAGACAUCUUACAUGAAUCCAUUGAUGGGAUAGAUUUGAAUCUGUAGCAUAAGGUGCAGUUUUGGAAAAGCCACAUUUCUCUCCUGUGCCUCUGCUACAGGGUGAAAGCAGUGGGAAGUGUCACUGCUAUUCACAAGGGUAGGUUAAGCCUCAGUCACCAAAACUUGUGAAAAUCAUUGGAAAUAUUGAGAUAGCAUAUUUCUUAUCAAAAAGAAAAAGUCUCAGCUUUAUUUGCUGUUUUAAAAGCUGGCAUAAAAAUACAUAUGUAAAGAAGUGUGAAGGUUGGACAGGCUUUCUUUUUUUUUUUUUUUUUUUUCUUAAGCAGGCAUUUACCAUUUUAGGAGAAAGCAGGACUGGCAUUUAAAAGCCUUAAAGCAGAGUAUUUAUCACAGGCAGUGAAACAAAAGCCUGCUGAAUUCUAAAUUACAAACCUGGUCAGAAAUCGACUAUCUGACUGUGCCUUUUAACUCUCCUUAAAGACAUACAGUAUGCCUUUGUGACUAUCAGUGUCUUAGAGAAAAAGAAAUGGCAUAGACAACUCUGCAAGAUUCUUGGAUAUGAGAGACAAAUAUGCAGUUAAAACCUUUUAAAUGUGGGAACUUCUUUGCUGGCUGGGAACCUGUGUCACCUCUACUACCCAGUUGUGCAGAACUACUCAGCUUUGUUUUUGUAAUUGUUUAAACCUACUGUUUCCUAAUGGAAAGAUGGAAAGAUUCAGAAAGCGAGCCUGUACUUCCACAUUUUGUUUGGAGACAAGGCUUGUGCACCAGCGGUGCUCGCAGUAAUUGAGCUAUGGCAUUAUUCUGCCAAGUGACAGGUAAGGGAGACAGCAGCAUACCAAUUUGCCUGGUUUUUACAAGCCUCUAAACUCCACAUGUAAUUAAAGAGACUUUUCAUAUUUAAUAGUAUUUAUCUUGUGUGUCAGAUAACACUUGUUAAAAGUCAUCAGCUUUUCAUUACCAAGAUCAUUAAUACCAUUGGUGAUACCGUGACUUGAAUAGCUCUUCACUUGUUUGUCACAGCUGCAAACUGACUUUCUAAUGACUGAUUCAGUUGUAAAUUUGCCUUUUCAAGAACAAACCUAGAAGUAUCAGACCUGUUGCUUACCUCAAAUUCUUUUACUGACAUUUACUUUCAAUGUAAAGUGAUGCUAAGGUAGUGAUUUUAGCGGGAAGCACUCCUCUGGAAGGUCAUCUUUGCAAAUAGGUAACAUGCUGCUGAUGGAGCAGUGGUUUUGUGCAUCCAAAUUUUGCUGAUUUUGCCAUCUGUUCCCCCUGCUGUGGUAGGACACCUGGCAGAAAAGAGCAGAUCCUGUUUGUUUUCCUGCAUGUGCACACUUUGGCCUGUUAACCUUUGCGUUGCUACUGCUGUGCAUCACAGAAAAGACAAAAUUGUGCUAGGCCGGCAGGCAGGAAACCUGUCUGCUCUGUGCUUUCACUUUGUUUUGCAGACUGUGCCAAUAAGUUAGUGGGAGGCAUCAAAGUGCAUUGCACUGCUUUUUCAGAGCACAAGGGCAGCUUAAGGAGGUUGCCUUUUUUUAUUUAUGUAUUUAUUUAUUUAUUUUUUAACAUCUUUAUACAAGAAAAGCCCUCCAUAUGAAUUUGCUUUUAUGCAAGAUUUUAGAUGGACAUGCAGUCUUAGAUCUUAAGGCCAGCAGUAAGCCAGUAGGUCAUUUAGUCUUGCUUCUAAUGAAAAUAACUUCCAGGAGACAUCCAGGAAUGAAGAACACAGUGCUUUCAUUUUUGGUUUAUUGCAAUUACUCAGUGCCUUACUGCUGUUUAUUUAUUUAUUUAUUUAUUUAUUUUCUGGCAUAAAUACUGCUGUACAGUUACUUGGCUUGAGACACUACCUAUGCAUUGAGAGACUGAUGCUGUCAUCAUGCUUAUGUGUGCAAAGUAAGUGUAAUAUGGCUCAAAGAAAUACUUCGACUUGCAGGCUUGCUUCAUCAGAAUUCUUAUAUUGCUUCUACUUUCUUAAACUGCAAAUUUCUUGUGAUUGGCCUGUCUAGGCUUCAUUUGACAAAUCAAAGUAAACAGGAAAUUAAGAACCCACAUUAUAAUACAAGAUGUUAAAGAUGUAUUUUGCAGUGAGUGCCCAGGUUGGGCAGUGCAGACAGAAGAAUUGCUACCUGAGUCUUGACAUGAAGAAUUAAGUAUUAUGAGGAGCCUCCGGCUGAUAUGGAUAAGCCAUUAUGUUGUAGUCACAAAUAGUGCACCAUCAGAUUAGGCUACGCUAAAUGGCAAUUUAAUGACAGUACCAACCCAGCUCUAAUUGUUUGUUGUGUUGUUAGUAGGCACAAGGUUAUAUACUAGCAGAAAACUACAUUUGAGGUUGGAGGGUCAAAUCAGAAAAAGCAGAACUGUAGCAGUACUGUAGUCAGAGAGCAAUUGUUAGAGGCAAAAUAAUUCAGCAUGGUUGCUCAGCUGAUUUCCUUGGUGAGAGUGUGAACUGGAGCUGAAACUUCCUGGAGCUGUCCUUGCUCAAGGUGAGACAACCCAGAGAGAUUAGCCAGGCUUGCAGCUGAAUCCAGUGCAGUACAAAACAUGACAGUCCUGACCCAAUAAAACUGUCAGGCCAGACUUAAUUUUAUGGACCUCAGUAGUCCUCUGCUUGAGUGGCAGGGGCUGUGAGCUUUGGCUUCCUCAGUGUUUGCUUUUGUGGUUGCUCCCAUCACUUUCAUCUUGCACAGGGCUUCUAGGAAGGGAGGGGACCAAGGGAACCUUGCCCCUAGCAUACCAAGGGAAAGUCAGUUUGGUGGAAAGCCCUUGGGGAACAAAGUCUGUUACUUAGUUUGCUCACCAAGAGGGCUGGAAGUUUGGAUUAUGCAGUUUCAAUCUUAGUAGUAACAGAGAAAUUCCUUCUCUCUUUGUUGCCAAGACUUAAACUAACUCAUUCAAGAGACCUUUUCCAUUCAAAGAACUUUGCAAAGUCAGACAAGCAUUUGGACAUCGAUUGCAUUGGAUGAUCGGAGUAAGAAAAACAGCAGGAAAAAAUAAGGAUGAGAUGGAAGGGCAUUUCCAGUGGAACAGCUCAUGCCUAACACUGUGAUGAAGGUAAGACACCCUCUCUUGAUGGAGUAUGAAAAAUCAAUAAAUCCUUUGGUAUUUGUAGGGUGGCCUUACUUCCCCUAUUGGAAGGAAGGAAACUCCCCCUGAGCUGCCUCCAAGAGCUCUCUGAGGGUAGUAUAUCUUUGUUCUUUAUUGGAGGGAUGAGCCUCAGGGCUUGUGGCAGAAAGCCUAUGGGGAUCCUGCUGCCUGUUCCUAUCUGUGCAUGUGCACAGUCCCCAGCCUCGGCCACACUCACAGCUACCCACUUGCCCCUCCUGGGAACAAGGCAUCACCCCUAUGAGUGGCAGGGUCUUGCUGCUCCUGAUGAGUUUCUGAGCCAGGGUUUUUCAUUCUAACUUGUGAAAAUGUAACCAAACUCUUGCUUGAGUGGUGCCAUACUCUGCUCCCUUUCCUUUACUUUCCUCCAUUUCAGGGAGCAAUUACACCCAGACUGCUGUGAGCAUGCUGGUGUUAGUGACUGUGCAAAGAGCACUGCACUAGUGUGGUGCUUCCGCAAAUCACAGCCACGUCCAACAAAAGCCUUUUGAUCAUGCUGUCUUCUCUGGAGGAUGUUGCAGUCUUCCUUUUUCCAUAUUUUUUCAUAUUACAGAAUACAUAGAAUGGUAUAUCCCUUUGCACAUAUGAACGAUGCUCAUGAUCUCCCCUGCAUGAUCAGAUAUAUGAUCUUUUUAAAAAGUUCACUUAUUAAAUGUUAAAAUUAUUCUUUUUUCCUUGAAAAACUCUCAGUUUCACAGAUCCAUACUCUCUUCCUCUUGUGCUCUUUUCUUCUUUCCCCUAUUUUUUUUUCCUGUUGGUAAGGGACUGUCAACACGUACAAAAUGACCAGCAUGCAUGAAUAAUAAAACAAGUUAUUCAAAAAACUUCCUGCAUGAAUGGUCUUUCAGAGUGCUACAGAGUAAUUGUCCUUUUUCCAAAGCUACAAGCUAUUUUCUCAAAUCCUGAAGAAAAUUCUUGGGCUGGGUUCUCCUCUAUAUGUCUCUAGCUUAAUGACAGGGAAACCCAGAAUAUCUCUGCUGGAUGGAC